This is a long non-coding RNA of Perognathus longimembris pacificus (Pacific pocket mouse), 152 nucleotides long. RefSeq lists it as uncharacterized. NCBI's taxonomy places the organism in Eukaryota, Metazoa, Chordata, Mammalia, Rodentia, Heteromyidae. The record is from RefSeq and is a predicted model, not a curated record. The transcript has 4 exons.
GGCCAUGUCUUCCGCUGUGAUCUGGACUGAUUGUGCCAGCCAGCUGUUGAAGAAGGUGCCGUCGAUGGGGAAUGAGGUGGAUAAGCCUGACCAAGGGGAGAGAGGACGGCAGGUGAGAUGGGGCAGGGACACACCUCACUGACCCCCGAAAG